UAACACAUGACCAGCCGUGUGGAAUUUUAUGGUAUUAGCUUGAGGUUAUUCGAGUUCCUGAAUUUCAGGAACCUUAUCACUACACAAGUCAUGGGCCAGUUUAGGACUUAUCCUUAUUGCUUAGAUGUUUGGACAGGUUGGGAAAUUUGAUAAGAUUUAAUUCCCUUAUUUAUAUUAGUUUCUUUUCAGUUAAGGACUCCAUCUCAGCCUACACAAGGAGAUUUCCUCAUUUAUUUGGUUUCCUUUUUAGAUCCAGUAACUUUAGUUGCUUAGUUUCUUUGGUUAGAAUAGGAUACUUCCUAACACGGCCUGUGAAUGGAAAUAAGUUUCCUAAUCAAUUAUGUUGUUA
This is a long non-coding RNA of Telopea speciosissima, 349 nucleotides long. RefSeq lists it as uncharacterized. The transcript is spliced from 2 exons. NCBI's taxonomy places the organism in Eukaryota, Viridiplantae, Streptophyta, Magnoliopsida, Proteales, Proteaceae. The record is from RefSeq and is a predicted model, not a curated record.